AGUUGGGCUCUCCUGCAUUUAUUCCUACAUAUAUAUCAUCCUUUAGUAAGAGACAAAUUGUAUAACUAUAUAUAGAUCGUUUCCUUCAUUUUAUGCAUUCCACGUCAAUGAAAAUGUCUUAGACUUGAAAGUAAAAUGCUGCGCUUAUACUUCCCACUUUUUCUCCCUUAUUUAUGACACUUCGGGACAUUUAUGUUGUAAAUAUGAAUUAGUUUCUUCAUUUCACUCAUUUCUUGGGAAUAAAAUGUCUCUUGAAAACUGACAGGUGGAUAGGAUGAUAGGUGGAUAUAGGCAGGCGUGUUUCAUACAGGGACUGCCACGUGUAGGCCUGGUGGCUUCUUGUACCAACCCUUAUGUUCUUAUCUUUUAUACAGGGACUGCCACAUGUAGGCCUGGUAGCUUCUUGUACCAACCGUUAUGUUCUUAUUUUUUAUACAGGGACCGCCACGUGUAGGCCUGGUGGCUUUUUUGUACCAACCUUUAUGUUCCUCUGUUCGUAUGUUAUGUUUCAUACAAGGACUGCCACGAGUAGGGCUGAUGGCUUCUUGCACCAACCCUCAUGUUCUUAUGCCCUCCUGAGAGGGAUGAAGAAGCAAAUUGACCUUGUUCUGUGAUUGACAGCGGGGAUCUGGCGGUGGUGGCGCGGGCAAUGCUGCAGGAGGAGCUGGGGGGCUGCUUCCUCACGCUGAUUGGUGGAGGACACGAGGCGACUCAACUUCUCGCCCAAUUAGCUGCGUCCCUUCACGUCCCUCUUCAGGUAACCCAACACGAACUGAACCCAACACGCCCUCCGAACAUCACGUGGGUUCAGAGCUCCUGCGAUGCCUUUCUCGUGACCGUGGGGGACGUGGGCAAGGCGCUGGAUUACCUGAAGGAGAACGAGCUGCCUUGGAACUACCGGGGAAGGUACGUGUUCUUCGGAGCCUCCUGCUUGAGUGACCUGCUUCCCUUGACGACCUCAGACAAGAUGGCGAAGACGGAGCAUGCCCUUUUUGUAUGGUGAGGUGUUUGUCUAUAUGUCUGUUUGUUUGU
Long non-coding RNA from Scylla paramamosain (green mud crab), 1032 nucleotides. RefSeq lists it as uncharacterized. The transcript has 2 exons. The record is from RefSeq and is a predicted model, not a curated record. Lineage: Eukaryota; Metazoa; Arthropoda; Malacostraca; Decapoda; Portunidae.